This 497-nucleotide ribosomal RNA is filed under the name uncultured bacterium. Its description in RNAcentral is "partial 16S ribosomal RNA". It matches the Rfam family "Bacterial small subunit ribosomal RNA", at positions 28 to 507 of the family's 1533-position model. The record is from RNAcentral.
GAUGAACGCUGGCGGCGUGCCUAAUACAUGCAAGUCGAGCGAACGGACGAGAAGCUUGCUUCUCUGAUGUUAGCGGCGGACGGGUGAGUAACACGUGGAUAACCUACCUAUAAGACUGGGAUAACUUCGGGAAACCGUAGCUAAUACCGGAUAAUAUUUUGAACCGCAUGGUUCAAAAGUGAAAGACGGUCUUGCUGUCACUUAUAGAUGGAUCCGCGCUGCAUUAGCUAGUUGGUAAGGUAACGGCUUACCAAGGCAACGAUGCAUAGCCGACCUGAGAGGGUGAUCGGCCACACUGGAACUGAGACACGGUCCAGACUCCUACGGGAGGCAGCAGUAGGGAAUCUUCCGCAAUGGGCGAAAGCCUGACGGAGCAACGCCGCGUGAGUAAUGAAGGUCUUCGGAUCGUAAAACUCUGUUAUUAGGGAAGAACAUAUGUGUAAGUAACUGUGCGCAUCUUGACGGUACCUAAUCAGAAAGCCACGGCUAACUACGUG